This 21-nucleotide unclassified non-coding RNA is filed under the name Mus musculus (house mouse). Its description in RNAcentral is "oocyte_clustered_small_RNA10600". Lineage: Eukaryota; Metazoa; Chordata; Mammalia; Rodentia; Muridae. The record is from RNAcentral.
AAGCUGGCCAAGACCUCUCUG